AUAUUUCUGUCCUGCUAUAGUCUUUUUUAAACUUCUUAUGAGAUUGAAGUAUUCGUUCUGAUUUCUGGUUUGCUGAUUGUUGUAGACAGAUGUAUGAAACCUCUUAACUGUGGACGACAACUACUUGAGAAGGACCAUCAUCACCCAUCAAGUACGCCAUUGAGGUAAUUCACCAGUCCCUCCGGCACCAACUAUCUAUUUUCUCUAGUAUGCUUAGGUUUUUCAUGCUGUUGUGGUAGCCCCAUUGCUGUUGCGUUGAAUCUCAUGCCAGCGCUGGUGCGCUUGUGGCUUGAUGUGCUGUGAUCUUUAUCUGUGUAGGUUUUGUUUGAUGAUAUGCUUAGAUUAUGAUCAUAAGCAUGGUGGUUUGAUGAUGCUGAGGCCAGCUGUUAAACCAUGAUAUAGUUGCUGGAACUGAGCUUAAUAUUCAUGUGUGUAUGUGUGUGUGUGUGUCGAGUAAAGUUGUGGUUUGUGCUGCUCCUUUGUAACAUGAUGAAACAAAGAAUGGCCUUUACUCCUUUUUGAAUGGAAUGUUCAUAAUAUAUUGGCUUCAGUUUUUCUAAUUUUUAUCAGCUGAUUCAUGUAACAGGGCGUCCGUGGAAGGCCCAGUCCUGACUCUCCAGUGAGUCCGGCAUUUGAUCGCUAUUGAAGGAGCUACAUGUAGAAGAAGAAAACACUUGCAGAGCUUGUAACUGAUUCCCAUAGUUGUAGAGCUUGUAUCAACUAAGCUUGUAUUACGUGUCACUUGUAGAACUUGUAAAUGCUACAGCUUGUAGGACAUGUCAUUUGUAGAGCUUGUAAAUAAGCUUGUAUAUGCUACAGCUUGUAGGACGUGUCAUUUGUAGAGCUUGUAUUGAAUCUGGCUAUUGUUAUUUGAAGUAUCAUGUGUGUUUUUUGCUUGCCAAUUUAACUAUUGGUUAUUUUCUUAUUGUCAAAUUGAAAUAUGAAGAAUCUGGGCCUAAUAGCUAGGACCCACUUAUCAGAACCUGACAAGUGGGACCUAUUUGACUAGAGGACCCAUUUUAUAAAAAAA
This 1030-nucleotide long non-coding RNA is filed under the name Triticum aestivum (bread wheat). RNAcentral describes it as "long non-coding RNA (TAES_LNC001279)". Lineage: Eukaryota; Viridiplantae; Streptophyta; Magnoliopsida; Poales; Poaceae. The record is from RNAcentral.